CUAGUUCCUUCGAUAUCGAUGUAAUCUAGUUAGCAAAAUAGCAAAUCAUGAUUACUAGAUUGGAUCGAUAUCGAAGGAACUAGACUCAGUUCCA
This is a non-coding RNA of Paramuricea clavata, 94 nucleotides long. The record is from the annotation of a GenBank genome assembly. NCBI's taxonomy places the organism in Eukaryota, Metazoa, Cnidaria, Anthozoa, Malacalcyonacea, Plexauridae.